Molecule: ribosomal RNA, 497 nt
Filed under: uncultured bacterium
Lineage: Bacteria
Description: partial 16S ribosomal RNA
Rfam family: Bacterial small subunit ribosomal RNA
Source: RNAcentral
GAUGAACGCUGGCGGCGUGCCUAAUACAUGCAAGUCGAGCGAACAGACGAGGAGCUUGCUCCUUUGACGUUAGCGGCGGACGGGUGAGUAACACGUGGAUAACCUACCUAUAAGACUGGGAUAACUUCGGGAAACCGGAGCUAAUACCGGAUAAUAUUUUGAACCGCAUGGUUCGAUAGUGAAAGACGGCUUUGCUGUCACUUAUAGAUGGACCUGCGCCGGAUUAGCUAGUUGGUAAGGUAACGGCUUACCAAGGCAACGAUACGUAGCCGACCUGAGAGGGUGGUCGGCCACACUGGAACUGAGACACGGUCCAGACUCCUACGGGAGGCAGCAGUAGGGAAUCUACCGCAAUGGGCGAAAGCUUGACGGAGCAACGCCGCGUGAGUGAUGAAGGUCUUCGGAUCGUAAAACUCUGUUAUUAGGGAAGAACAAAUGUGUAAGUAACUAUGCACGUCUUGACGGUACCUAAUCAGAAAGCCACGGCUAACUACGUG